Octopus bimaculoides (California two-spot octopus) is the source of this 144-nucleotide non-coding RNA. Lineage: Eukaryota; Metazoa; Mollusca; Cephalopoda; Octopoda; Octopodidae. The record is from Rfam.
AUAGAGGAUCUUUGUCAUCAGUGACACCCAGUUGCUGAUAUAUGAGCGUCUGGGCAGAAUCUCAAUCAAGAGAUUCCGGAGAUGUAAUUCUUAGCGACUGGCAGCAGCUAGUGCUCUUUAGAUGACGAUGUGCCUGUUUGUCUG